UGGCUAAUGCCUCCAUAGUCGCCUUGACGAGGCGAAGGUCGAGGGUUCAAAUCCCUCCGAGCCCA
This 65-nucleotide transfer RNA is filed under the name Archaeoglobales archaeon. RNAcentral describes it as "tRNA-Val". It matches the Rfam family "tRNA". Rfam says of the family: Transfer RNA (tRNA) molecules are approximately 80 nucleotides in length. Their secondary structure includes four short double-helical elements and three loops (D, anti-codon, and T loops). Lineage: Archaea; Methanobacteriati; Methanobacteriota; Archaeoglobi; Archaeoglobales. The record is from RNAcentral.